Molecule: ribosomal RNA, 497 nt
Filed under: uncultured bacterium
Lineage: Bacteria
Description: partial 16S ribosomal RNA
Rfam family: Bacterial small subunit ribosomal RNA
Source: RNAcentral
GAUGAACGCUGGCGGCGUGCCUAAUACAUGCCAGUCGAGCGAACGGAUGAGAAGCUUGCUUCUCUGAUGUUAGCGGCGGACGGGUGAGUAACACGUGGAUAGCCUACCUAUAAGACUGGGAUAACUUCGGGAAACCGGAGCUAAUACCGGAUAAUAUUUUGAACCGCAUGGUUCAAAAGUGAAAGACGGUCUUGCUGUCACUUAUAGAUGGAUCCGCGCUGCAUUAGCUAGUUGGUAAGGUAACGGCUUACCAAGGCAACGAUGCAUAGCCGACCUGAGAGGGUGAUCGGCCACACUGGAACUGAGACACGGUCCAGACUCCUACGGGAGGCAGCAGUAGGGAAUCUUCCGCAAUGGGCGAAAGCCUGACGGAGCAACGCCGCGUGAGUGAUGAAGGUCUUCGGAUCGUAAAACUCUGUUAUUAGGGAAGAACAUAUGUGUAAGUAACUGUGCACAUCUUGACGGUACCUAAUCAGAAAGCCACGGCUAACUACGUG